Molecule: unclassified non-coding RNA, 336 nt
Filed under: soil metagenome
Description: partial contains 5.8S ribosomal RNA, internal transcribed spacer 2, and large subunit ribosomal RNA
Rfam family: 5.8S ribosomal RNA (bases 1-120)
Source: RNAcentral
GAUGAAGAACGUAGCGAAAUGCGAUAAGUAAUGUGAAUUGCAGAAUUCAGUGAAUCAUCGAAUCUUUGAACGCACAUUGCGCCCGCCAGUAUUCUGGCGGGCAUGCCUGUUCGAGCGUCAUUUCAACCAUCAAGCCCCCGGCUUGUGUUGGGGACCUGCGGCUGCCGCAGGCCCUGAAAACCAGUGGCGGGCUCGCUAGUCACUCCGAGCGUAGUAAUACAUCUCGCUCAGGGCGUGCUGCGGGUUCCGGCCGUUAAAAAAGCCUUAUUUACCCAAGGUUGACCUCAGAUCAGGUAGGAAGACCCGCUGAACUUAAGCAUAUCAAUAAGCGGAGGA